AUCGACUAUAUUCUAUGUUUAAAUAACACAAAAAAUACCGACCCUUAGUAGGGAGAUUCGAGUGAGAAUUGAGAUCUUUAACAGUACUGGGAGAAAGUGAUGGCUACCUUUAUACAUCACAAAGGAAACAGAAAUUAUUCUUCAGAUGAAGCCUCAUGCAACACAGAACGGCACUAUUUGCUGCUGAUCUCCUUGCCGGAAUCCGAUUGACAGUGCAACUGCUAUAGAACAUAUAUAAGAGAAAUACACCUGAACAAUCUUUGGGAAUUCAAAGUUCUUCGAAGAAAUUCACAGAAACAAGGUUUCUCCAUAAAGGGCACAUACCAUCAAAUGUGUGGUGGGCUGUUUCCUUCAUUUUUUAACAGUUUUUUCCACCCAAGACCACUAGUCUGAGGAUAUUUGCAUAUCCAGUGUCGCAUUUAAAGCAAUCUAGGGUUUACCCAAGUCAAAUUGUGUAGGCUAUAUUACGAAGCUGGUGGAAGAUCAGCUUUGAUCACAGGCGCCACGCCACUUAACGCGCUACUCCCAUCUAGUGGAAAGGGAUGAUCUUCGUCAAUGGUGAUGGUGGGGAUGGAACCGGGGCGAUAUGGAAGUACUUUUACAGGCAAGCAAGCAUGCACUCCACUAAAUGAAAAAGCUCUCUCUGAGACAUUCUGGACCAAGAAUUUUACCAAGGGAAAUUGCUCUCUCCCCCCACGCUCCAGGUUCUUG
This 711-nucleotide long non-coding RNA is filed under the name Populus tremula. RNAcentral describes it as "long non-coding RNA (PTRE_LNC001334)". The record is from RNAcentral. Lineage: Eukaryota; Viridiplantae; Streptophyta; Magnoliopsida; Malpighiales; Salicaceae.